This 404-nucleotide ribosomal RNA is filed under the name Actinomycetes bacterium. RNAcentral describes it as "Actinobacteria bacterium partial 16S ribosomal RNA". It matches the Rfam family "Bacterial small subunit ribosomal RNA", at positions 355 to 776 of the family's 1533-position model. Lineage: Bacteria; Bacillati; Actinomycetota; Actinomycetes. RNAcentral also lists the same sequence under 1 other name. The record is from RNAcentral.
UGGGGAAUAUUGGACAAUGGGCGCAAGCCUGAUCCAGCCAUGCCGCGUAAGUGAUGAAGGCCCUAGGGUUGUAAAGCUCUUUCACCGGUGAAGAUAAUGACGGUAACCGGAGAAGAAGCCCCGGCUAACUUCGUGCCAGCAGCCGCGGUAAUACGAAGGGGGCUAGCGUUGUUCGGAUUUACUGGGCGUAAAGCGCACGUAGGCGGACUUUUAAGUCAGGGGUGAAAUCCCGGGGCUCAACCCCGGAACUGCCUUUGAUACUGGAAGUCUUGAGUAUGGUAGAGGUGAGUGGAAUUCCGAGUGUAGAGGUGAAAUUCGUAGAUAUUCGGAGGAACACCAGUGGCGAAGGCGGCUCACUGGACCAUUACUGACGCUGAGGUGCGAAAGCGUGGGGAGCAAACAGG